RNAcentral lists this unclassified non-coding RNA (283 nucleotides) under uncultured fungus. RNAcentral's name for it is "partial contains small subunit ribosomal RNA, internal transcribed spacer 1, and 5.8S ribosomal RNA". The stretch from base 1 to 73 matches the Rfam family "Eukaryotic small subunit ribosomal RNA", at positions 1759 to 1831 of the family's 1831-position model. Lineage: Eukaryota; Fungi. The record is from RNAcentral.
GCAAACUUGGUCAUUUAGAGGAAGUAAAAGUCGUAACAAGGUUUCCGUAGGUGAACCUGCGGAAGGAUCAUUAACAGUGUUCGUGGCUUUUAAACAGCCAUGAUCCAAUCCUAUCAUCCACUGUGUGCAUCUUAUCGAGCUUUGUGCCUUGGCAGAGUGGAGACACUCUGCCAAAGGUGUUAUCCUAUUCUAGCCUGACGUAUCAGACUGAAUAAACUAUUUUGAACCACAUACAACUUUCAACAACGGAUCUCUUGGCUCUCGCAUCGAUGAAGAACGCAGC